Molecule: ribosomal RNA, 233 nt
Filed under: uncultured bacterium
Lineage: Bacteria
Description: partial 16S ribosomal RNA
Rfam family: Bacterial small subunit ribosomal RNA
Source: RNAcentral
AGUAACACGUGGACAAUCUGCCCUUAGGUUUGGGAUAAUUCCCCGAAAGGGGUUGUAAUACCGAAUAAUAUCACUGAGUGGCAUCACUCGGUGAUCAAAGGCGGGGUAACCUGUCGCUUAGGGAUGAGUCCGCGCUCCAUUAGCUUGUUGGUGAGGUAACGGCUCCCCAAGGCUGCGAUGGAUAGCCGGCCUGAGAGGGUGAUCGGCCACACUGGGACUGAGAUACGGCCCAG